This 203-nucleotide ribosomal RNA is filed under the name uncultured bacterium. RNAcentral's name for it is "partial 16S ribosomal RNA". It matches the Rfam family "Bacterial small subunit ribosomal RNA", at positions 332 to 526 of the family's 1533-position model. The record is from RNAcentral.
AUUACUCCUACGGGAGGCAGCAGUGGGGAAUUUUGGACAAUGGGGGCAACCCUGAUCCAGCCAUGCCGCGUGCGGGAAGAAGGCCUUCGGGUUGUAAACCGCUUUUGUCGGGGAAGAAAUCUUCUGGGCUAAUACCUCGGGAGGAUGACGGUACUCGAAGAAUAAGCACCGGCUAACUACGUGCCAGCAGCCGCGGUAAUAAU